Molecule: long non-coding RNA, 4119 nt
Organism: Culex pipiens pallens (northern house mosquito)
Lineage: Eukaryota; Metazoa; Arthropoda; Insecta; Diptera; Culicidae
Exons: 2
Source: RefSeq, a predicted model, not a curated record
UUGAGAUCGUAGGUCGGUGGAAGCACCAGCAGCUGGAGUGAUUACUGGUGCGCAAUGUUCACGACCGCUGGGACGUGCUCUUCCCGAACCGGCGACGUUGGUUUGGCAUCCAUUUUCGUGGCACUGUUUGACGCACGGCAGUGGUAUGGCGCACGCGAGUCCACAACAGAAGGAACUUCUGGUGCAGGGGAUUGUUUUGCGUGGGCGGUGAGGGUGACACAGUUCGGGAGCUAGGUUUUUUGCAGAGAGGUUUGCUCGUACAUGUUGCGAUCCUCAUCCGGCCACAGCCUCCAAUGAUUAGCUCGUCGAGCAGGCCAAACUUGCGACCCAGCAACAAGUGCAGCGCCUCUUCUCCAACAUUCGGCCGGGCAAAUUCCGAACAGCGUUAGUCCGGUCGGGCACAUUUCACCAAGCUUGACGCGGUCGACCUCCAGGUGGCAAAGGGAGGCGAAGCUGUGCUGGAUUAGAGGCGUGGCCGGCCAGAAGGACUCUUCCGACUUGGGAGCUCGGACGUGGGUUAGCAGGAGUUGCUGGAGUUUGUGCAGCUCGGCGAGGGCUAGAUUAGGGCACGCGUGAGUUUGCUAGGAGCUGCUGCAGGCUAUCCUGGGGGAGAUCUAAAUCUUUAAUUUUGAGGUGUUUCAGAACAGGGCAGCCGGCGUUUCGGCGAUUUGUUCCUGAACCUAGAAGAGAAGAUAGAAAAGCAUUUUAAAUUUGAAAUUGUUAAAUACAAACAAAACAUUCUACCGACCGAUUCUAGCAUGUCAGGCCAAACUCAAAUUGCAGAUUCUUCAACGUUUGCGUCUUCCGGUAGAACGCAACCGCAAUGCUUGUUUCUUUCACGGCAGGUCUGUAUCGCCCAUCCACCAACAACUGCUUCAGGAACCGAACCACCAACCGAUCCCGCAACCGAGAACUUACGUCCACAACAUCUCCCUGACGGCUGCAUGUCAAGUGAAUCCCCAGGUCAGCAUUCCGAAAAUCUGCUCCCACAUUUCCGCCGGUAAUGUUGCUUCUCUCCAGCCGUUCUUCCCCUUAAUCCCCCUCGGAGUCAAGUUUGAGUUGAACGUCGCGAUCAUCCGCUGGGCCAACUGCCGAAUCGUGUCAUGUUUUUCCGUCAACUCCCAAGUGCGGCUGCCUUCCGCUUCGUCUUCCGACACUGCUCGCAAGCCCAGAACAGUUAGAGCUGCCCCCCUGGCAUGGCUUCCAGUACAGGUGCGGUCAUGUUGGCACAUUCGGCGCGGAAUACGGUCCGUUGGCGGCACCUCUGCACCACAAGUGAUGAUGGUUUGGAUGCCCUUCUUGGCUGCUGACGAAGACCGGAGCUGGCUGGUUGCAGAUUUGGCAACGUUCCAUGUUCCGAAAUGGGUUACUUCGGAAAGAUUUCACAAAUUCCGACGGCGUUCGCUUUUGAUGGUGACAAACUUCCGUGAUUCAAAAUAAAAACAUCAACAACAGCUGAUUUUUGACAAAUAUGUAUAAACAUAACAGAACAAUCAAGGACCUAUUUUUGGAAUAUUUAUGUUAUUUAAAUAAACUCCGGAAAACAACGCUAUAGUAAUUUAAAGCAGCAAAAACUAUGUGUAGUUACAUAAUAUAAUGCAAGAAAUUUAAAUUCUUAAUAAAAGUAUUAGAAAUAAUCAAAAAUAAAUUAAAUUUUAAAAAAUAAUAUUAUUCCAAUGUUAGGUUCAGUACGGUAACCACUUUCGACAACAGUGCCGCCAUCUAUGGUUUAAAAGAAGUUUCUAUUAACUGCCGCUAGAGGGUAAUCGCUCUUCAACUAUGCGAACCUAGCGGUAGAAGUGAGAAACAUGCCUUCCGGCGUUCCAUUUAUGUGGCCGAGCAUGCCACCCACCCACACCCACAUCCAGCCACGAGAUCAACAACCAGAACGCGGAAAACGGCAAUCGUUUUAAAUUGCACCCGGCGAACUGCACGUAACGUCUACCUGGAGAACAAACGCAAGCGGCCACAGUCUCGCUUCUCCAGCAUGGGUCCGAUAACCGGUCAGCCUUGGCCAGCAAGAAAUAGUAAGUUCAAAGAUCUUUUAUAAUAUGAUCACAAUUGUUUAUUUUUAUUUAUAUUUCCUUUUGAAAUUUAUCUCACAGAAUUCCCCCCUGCGAAAUGUUCCGGUGUGGUCAACCUGCUGAGAACGGCACAGAUUCGUUUGAGGCGGUCAGUUGUUCGCCAAAACUUAUCCCGGAAAAGUGACCGGUAUCUCCGACGCGUGAGAAAUGCCACGAUCCUGGAGCUGGCUUCACUGUAAAGCGGUCAAGUUCCGGUCGAUUGAAUCUCGUCCAGCUCCAAGAUUGAUAACGGGACCACCACCUCCACUGCGGAAGUGGCACAGCGCAGGAAUAAUCGAUGGCAUGUUGAAGGAAAUCAACAGAUGACUGCAUGGCCGUGUGGGGCAAGUUCGAGGGGUUUGGUGCAACGAGCCGUCCACGAAGAUGAAUCUGCUGCAGGAAUUCCAACACAUGGCGCUGUUCAAAUUGCUUGUGGUCAACCGGAACGAGGACCAAUUCAGGGUACCCAAUCGUGGUCACGAACAAUAAUUCCAACUGGUGAGUUUGUUUUUGAAGCAAAACAUUAUGUUUGCUAAUCCCAGUGUAAUACUUUUUUUUCUCAUUAAAUAGGCUGAUGCCGUCUGGAACCAGCACGCGGGGCGUUUAUGGAUCAACAUGUUCCCUCAGAAAAUACUAACGGAUCUGUGCGAAUCUCCGGAAUUACUACGUGGGAUGACCAUGGCACAGAAAGUGCCCUCGGAAAGACGCUACUCAAGAUCAGACUUGAAGACGGGCACGAUGGGUGAGGUUCUGCACUAUGCGCCCAGAUCAAGCAUUUGGAACGAAAGUGCAGGGACAGAAACGAAAGUCAGCACGAAGCUGGUCGAACGAUGACUUAACAGGGCGACGGAAUGACGAUUCAGGCAAUUCCGCAACAGCAAAGAAAAAAUAUCCCAACCCCGGACUCCCGUUUUCUGUGUGAGCGCGGAUUACUUUCAUACAAAGUACCCUGCAAAGUAGACCAUCAUAAAGUGCACCAUGGGCGGGUCCGCCAAAGCUGCUGUGUGGUUCCAGCGAGGUUUUCUGAACGCCGCGGCGUCGUGUUUCGCAGAAUAUCUCCGUUACGCAGACAGUAGUAUCCGGCCACACCGAAAGCAAGAGAGGAACUACUGGAACAGUUCCUGCUGACUGGUUGGCAUCACGGUGGCGCCGAGACUUGCGAUUAACGUGGGACAUCUGGGAGCGCGCAGUUAGACCACCUCGGAGGUGGCGUAGGUGUCGUCGGUGGCAAUGGAAUCAGUGCCACUGAAGGACAGGUAGAACAUUGAUAUUGCAAUCUUUCAACCCAAGCUAAUGUUUCUCUCUUCCAGCUCAAUAGUUCCGGGUGGUUCGGAAGCGGAAGCCAUGUGUGCUGUUCAAAUCGCUGGUUUUCAACCGAAACGCGGCGUUAAAACCGCCUGUUCCGCCUGUAAACAGCAACCAAGUGGGCCCAGGCCACCAAUAGCAGCAAGUUCCGUUACCGCCGCAAUUCGGAGCGCUGAUGCCAAAAUCGUGGAAUACGAAACAAAAGUGGCGGAGGCGGAUGCAAGAGUAUGCUAUCGAGCUUCUUCUCGGGCGGUAGGGCCGGCGAUAUCUCAGUUCAUACCGAGUAGGCGAUCGCGGCCCUCGCGGACAAAUGCAACCUCUAAGGUUGGCUAAUUAGCAGCAGCGAGACCAGCACCGGGAUCACGACGGUAUCCGCGGGACUCUUCGGCGGUGGCGGCUCCGUUCAUGUAGUCGUUCAGCGUUCUAUCAUCUCGUCCUGGAUGCUGCAGCAACAACUUCACCACCAGGAAGAGGACAAGCGCAUGGCUUUUAGUCGCGAAGUGGAACCCGAGCAGGACCGAGUGGAGAGCAACGUGAACGGCAAGACAGUGAAUCGGCCGUUCAUCUACCGAUGCCGCCCUCGCAACGGAUUGGCUACGUCGCGUCCAAGGUCCAUCUCAAGUUGUGCCGCACGGAGGACCAGCGAAGGAAGAUGGAACCCAAGCAAGCCGCGGCCAGGAAGCUACAGGAACUGGAGCAGUAGCUGAAAAGUAAGAAGGUUGAAGACAGAGGAUCGGUCCAAGAAGCGUAA